CAAGAUGAGUUCUCCCUGAAGACCCGUGGUAGAUGACCACGUUGAUAGGCUGGAUGUGUACGAGCAGCGAUGCUCUCAGCUGACCAGUACUAAUCGGUCGUUUGACUUGACCAU
RNAcentral lists this ribosomal RNA (114 nucleotides) under Acidobacteriota bacterium. RNAcentral describes it as "Acidobacteria bacterium (rhizosphere metagenome) partial 23S ribosomal RNA". It matches the Rfam family "Bacterial large subunit ribosomal RNA", at positions 2800 to 2925 of the family's 2925-position model. The record is from RNAcentral. Lineage: Bacteria; Pseudomonadati; Acidobacteriota.